Molecule: ribosomal RNA, 916 nt
Filed under: uncultured bacterium
Lineage: Bacteria
Description: bacterial SSU rRNA
Rfam family: Bacterial small subunit ribosomal RNA
Source: RNAcentral
UACACAUGCAAGUCGAGCGAUGAGAUCACUUCGGUGAUGGAUUAGCGGCGAACGGGUGAGGAACACGUGAAGAAUCUGCCUUCAACUCUGGGAUAACUCCGGGAAACCGGGGCUAAUACCGGAUAUGAGCCUUGAUCGCAUGAUCGAGGCUGGAAAGUUUUUCGGUUGAAGAUGACUUCGCGGCCUAUCAGCUUGUUGGUGAGGUAAUGGCUCACCAAGGCGACGACGGGUAGCCGGCCUGAGAGGGCGACCGGCCACACUGGGACUGAGACACGGCCCAGACUCCUACGGGAGGCAGCAGUGGGGAAUAUUGGGCAAUGGAGGAAACUCUGACCCAGCGACGCCGCGUGCGGGAUGAAGGCCUUCGGGUUGUAAACCGCUUUCAGCAGGGAAUAAGCGCAAGUGAAGGUACCUGCAGAAGAAGCACCGGCUAACUAUGUGCCAGCAGCCGCGGUAAUACAUAGGGUGCAAGCGUUGUCCGGAAUUAUUGGGCGUAAAGAGCUCGUAGGUGGUUUGUUACGUCGGUUGUGAAAUUCAGGGGCUCAACCCCUGACUUGCAGCCGAUACGGGCAAGCUAGAGUUUGGUAGGGGAGACUGGAAUUCCUGGUGUAGCGGUGGAAUGCGCAGAUAUCAGGAGGAACACCGAUGGCGAAGGCAGGUCUCUGGGCCAAUACUGACACUGAGGAGCGAAAGCGUGGGGAGCGAACAGGAUUAGAUACCCUGGUAGUCCACGCCGUAAACGGUGGGCGCUAGUUGUGCGAACCUUCCACGGUUUGUGCGACGCAGCUAACGCAUUAAGCGCCCCGCCUGGGGAGUACGAUCGCAAGAUUAAAACUCAAGGGAAUUGACGGGGCCCCGCACAAGCAGCGGAGCAUGCGGCUUAAUUCGACGCAACGCGAAGAACCCUUACCAAAGG